Long non-coding RNA from Jaculus jaculus (lesser Egyptian jerboa), 367 nucleotides. RefSeq lists it as uncharacterized. The transcript is spliced from 3 exons. The record is from RefSeq and is a predicted model, not a curated record. NCBI's taxonomy places the organism in Eukaryota, Metazoa, Chordata, Mammalia, Rodentia, Dipodidae.
GUUUCAACCACUCCAGGGCUCGCAGUGACGUCGGAUGCUUCCUUUGCUGCCUUCCAGAACGUGCUGCAGAGCUAACCAAAUUGAAAUGGGCCCCCUCCAUCUUACACACGGCGUGUGCAGUGUUUAUCUCAGCCUUCUAUGUGCGUGGACCCCUCAAUGCAGCAGCCCAGUGAGACAACACCACCCCCAGUUUAUGGAUGAGGAAAUGGAGCAGAGAGAGCCUUAACCACCUCGGAGCAGAAGCACCAUGGGGCAACAUUGACAUAAACUGCAAGGCCCAGGGGCAUCCUUGGCCUAAAUCUACCCGGGAGUCCAUGGCUGAGGUUUCGGAGUAAGAAGAUGUGACCAUUGAGCCCUUUCAUGUACG